Molecule: ribosomal RNA, 532 nt
Filed under: uncultured Staphylococcus sp.
Lineage: Bacteria; Bacillati; Bacillota; Bacilli; Caryophanales; Staphylococcaceae
Description: partial 16S ribosomal RNA
Source: RNAcentral
CAAACGUAGUUAGCCGUGGCUUUCUGAUUAGGUACCGUCAAGAUGUGCACAGUUACUUACACAUUUGUUCUUCCCUAAUAACAGAGUUUUACGAGCCGAAACCCUUCAUCACUCACGCGGCGUUGCUCCGUCAGGCUUUCGCCCAUUGCGGAAGAUUCCCUACUGCUGCCUCCCGUAGGAGUCUGGACCGUGUCUCAGUUCCAGUGUGGCCGAUCACCCUCUCAGGUCGGCUACGUAUCGUCGCCUUGGUAAGCCGUUACCUUACCAACUAGCUAAUACGGCGCGGGUCCAUCUAUAAGUGAUAGCAAAAACCAUCUUUCACUUUAGAACCAUGCGGUUCUAAAUAUUAUCCGGUAUUAGCUACCGGUUUCCCGAAGUUAUCCCCAGUCCUUAUACGGUAGGUUACCAACGUGUUACUCACCCGUCGCCGCUAACUUCAAAGGAGCAAGCUUCUAUCUGUUCGCUCGACUUGCAUCGUAUUAGGUCACGCCGCCAGCGUUACGAUCCGUAGAGCAAGGACUCAAAACGUCUA